AUCCAUGCCCCGGGAGAACGGAACGUGCAGGCAGACUAACCAGAGACCGUGUCAAAAGCAGAGAGGAACUGUACAGCCCCUCAAGAAGCUCUGCUUCUAGCUCUGUAGUCAGUAGGAUAAUUCCAUUUUUACUUUCUGUAAUAUGACUCACAAAUGUGUAUUACAGCCCUGACCUUGUCUUCAAGCCCUCAAUGCCGUUCGUUUGUUUAAAAUGUCCACAUGAAUGUCUGCAAGGAUUUCUGGCCCAGCCUAUCUACAAACUCUUUACUUAUUUGUUUCCCAACAAAUCCCAUCCUUCCGCAGAUUUUCCUGCCUCGAUGGCACCUUUAGCUUUCACCAUCGCUCAUAUCAGAGCCCCCAGAAGUGGACUAACCUCUAACCAAUCGUGUGUGCCCCAUGUCCCAGCUUCUACCUCAUUCAUGCCUCUGUCUUUAGAAGCCAGGACCUUGUCAGAGCCCCUAAAUUGUCUCCUUGCUUCUAUUCUCGCCAGGAUCUCUGGCAUCUCUCCUCUCCAUGGCCCACGGAAUAACCACUUCAACUUAAGCAUGAUGUCUCCAUGGCACUCAAGAUGUAUCCAGGCCUCCCUGGCUUCUGAGGUCUGGCCAGUCCUUCUCCUCAUUCCUCUUUCCAGCACUUCAACCAAAAUGCCGUGCGUGUGAGUUCUGCUCCCAGGAAGCUCUCAUCUGUCUCCCUCUACUCCCCCCACAAAAAUGUAAAGGAGUCUGGCUUGUCUUCCCAGAAGGCCAGUGUCCUGGCCAACCCUUGUAAACUCUUUUGCCCACUUUAAAAUUCUUGAAAAGCAAUCUCCGUUCCCAGCCAGACUCCCGGCUCCCAGUGCUUCCUACCCACAUCCCUCCAGCCCCAUCCGUCAGCUUCCUUGGGUCAACACCACAGCUGAGCCUGCCCCUUCGGAAGCUGACAUUCCCUCAAGGGUGGUGGAUUUACAGUGCAGGGUUACUGGGUGCGUAAAUCUGGGCCCCGGGAUUCGAGAACUGUGACAUUUUUACAGCCUCCUCCCCCAAGUCUCUGCACGUAUUUGAAGCAACUGGAGGGAGGAACAUCUGUUUUCACUUUCUACAAUUCACUCCAUGGCUCCCAUCUGACAAAAAUGUCAAUCCUGCCAGAGUUCUGGUCCCUGGCUGAAUGAAUGAGCAACGAGGCCACACUCUGCCAGAGGUCUUGAUUGUCCUGUCUCAUCAGGCUAUAAAGAAGCCACUGGAAUAAAAAGGUCUCCACUAACUGCUAACCAGAAAAUGUUCCUGAGAUCAGGUUGGGUAGUCACCUUCCAAUUUGCCAGAAGUUAAGGAGGCGCCUUGCUAGGGGAGGCAGGGAGAGCCUCUAGGGUUUCCCUUUCAACUGAAGCUAUACCCUGAGGGCUAUGUGCAAUGGAUGCUGGAACUUGUAGUCUCUGGGCAAGAUGACUUUGCUGAGAGCCCUCAGGUAGGUUGCAAAGCAUGGGUGAUUAUUCAUUGCCUAGCCCAUGAUCUUGGCUAGAAUGUACCGUGGCAAGGCAUAUCCUGACAGAAAGUCCUAUCAGGAAAAUAUGCACACAUCCUUGCUUAACAUUCCAUUCAAAGAUAAGACAGUGAGGUUCAUCUUGUUAGGCAUGACGUAGUUCAUUGUCAGCCUACCUACGGCACUACCCUGUGAUGAGGGUCCAUCCUUUCAUCUGAGUGAGAUAGCCAUGAUGCAGUCAAAUUAGAAACCUGUAUCUCUCCUAGAUGGUCCCACUGGCAGCUGGCAGGAAAGAUCAGAUCAGGAACAGACCCCUUUGGGAAGGCUGCCCCGCAGAAAGCAGCACAUUGGCUCUCUUAUCCAUGAUCGCUCACUGCAUAUGGGUUUGGCCACAACCAUGGCAGAAAACAGUGGGUGUUCCAUCACUUUCUCCCUACAGCACACUGGCUUCAAGAUGCCUGUAGAAAGAAAGCCCAAGUCCAAAUAGAGCAUGGCAUCGUGGCCCUCUGAGGACAGCCAGAGGACACACAAGCCUCCAAUACAUCAUUAGGAUUCUCUGAUAGGUCUGUGGCCUUUCCAGCUCAAAAUCCUUCGAAGUCCUCACAGCCUGUUCAGUAAAUACUUGUCUCCCCGCUCUCCUCCCACGCUCUAAAUUCUAGUCAAGGGGGUCAUUUGUUAAAGUCAGGAACCACCCCUCAUGGGGCGCUUAUUAAAUCCCAUGAGCUGUGUGAAGUACAUGGGACGAUUGUGUCACCCGGUCCCGUAUCUACCUGAGGAGGGUAGAUUUAGGCCUGGCUUUCAGAAGGAGGAACUGAGGCACGGAAGUGAAGCCACUGAACCUGCCACCAACCAGUUGAUUCUGCUGGAGGUUAUCACGUGGACAGUAACCACAAAGCUACACAACAACAAAAGACACGGUCACCUACUGCACAAGGACCUUGUCUGAAAGCAUUCGUAAGUGCCCUCCCCACAGCUGGAUACUGGGGACACUCUCUAUGACCCCCUUUUCAAGGCCAUCUCUUCUACAAACACAGCGUGUAUGCUUGCUUGCAGCCCUCUGAUCCGAACACAGAACCACUGUGCCCCACCGUGCAUGCAUAGUAUAGGUUCCGACUGCACUCUUCCUCUUCUGAUGGUCCCCUUUCCAUAUUGCCCCAGCUUAGACAAAUUGUAGGUUUCCAAAUCCUGUGAACUGCAGCACUUGAGUUAAAUUACAACCUCGAUCUCUGUCUGUCUCUAUGUCUCUGUCUCUGUCUCUGUCUCUCUAUCUGUCUCUGUCUCUCUCUCUCUCUCUCUCUCUCUCACACACACACACACACACACGCACAUGUGCAAUCUCUUAUUCUCAUACCUGGGUGAAGAGAUGUCUAAGUUAUACCAGCCGCUUCUUUGACCUGUCUUUUGAAACGUCGAGUCUAAUCCCUUUACUCUUGCAUGUGGGCCAAAUUUAAUGUCCCUUUUUUAGUACACACAACGUGACUAAAAGGAGGUCAGGUUGUCAACCAUGCUGCCACACUUUCACCUUGUCCUCAUAGAUCAUCUGCUUUGGGUACAGCUAGUCAUGGUGACACUCAAGUAGUUGUAAUGAAGGUAACAGGGACUCCUAUUGGUGAAUGCUAAGAGGCAAAACACAAAAAAGAGUCCAGAAUGAGAAAGGUGUACUACAGAUUAUUAGUUUUUUGUUUUGCAUUUUUUUGAGACAGGAUCCCUCCACGUAUCCUCUGCUGUCCUGCAACUCACUGUGAGACCAACCCAGCCUUGAACUCUCAGAGAUCUGUCUGCCUCUGCCUCCUGAGUGCUGGGAUUAAAACAGUAGUUCAUAACCCAUGGGCCUCAACCAUUUUGGGCUUACCCUUUCGGCGGCUGAAUUACCCUUUCACAGGGGUCACCUAAGAACAUCAGAAAACAGAUAUUUACAUUAUAAGCUGUAACAGUAGCAAAAUUACAAUUUGAAGUGGCAAUGAGAAUAAUUGUAUGGUUGGGGGUCACCGCAACAUGAGGAACUCUGUUAAAGGGUCACAGCAUUAGGAAGAUCGAGAACCACUGAAUUAAAGACAUUCAACCCCAUGCCCAGCUUCAGGGUUCAUACUCAAAGGUAAUACUUCCUCAAACAAAAAGCAAGGGACUUUGACUGGGGACAUUUCUGUGUGUUCACAUGAAGGAGACAGACUAGUCUUUCCAUGGUGAGGCAGGUACAUUCCUGAGCAUAGUUUCUUCAGCCCACGUGUCUGUAUAUAUAGCUUUAAAAGCAAAACAAAAAGACAAGGUCUCAGUUUGUAACAUUGCCUGAUCUAGAACUUACUAUGUAGAUCAUGCUCGUCUCAAACUGAUAGAACUCCACCUGCCUCUGCCCCCCCCCCCGAGUGCUGUGAUCAAAGGUGUGCACCACCAUAGCCUGCCAUAUUUUUUUAGUGUAAACGCAAGGCUGUGCACAAAGAAUUUAGUGUGAUAACCAGCGUAGAGUGCUCUAGGCCACCUAAGAAGAAGAAACUAGGAUGACUCUGGUUCCUUGUGUCUCUGCAGGGGCUUACCUGGAAGAAACAAACCUCAGCUUUGAAAGAAUGUUAACAACCAUUUAAAGUAUACAGUUAUUUAAAAGGUGUGGCUUUGCCCACAAAAACAUGGAUGACUGUCCCUGAAAGUGGCUGCCUGGUGGUUGAGAGACAAUAGCUGGGCCCCUGUUCAGCCUCUGCCAGAAUCUUCACAGAUGCCUCAUGGGAGACUCCACGGCAACCCCUCUCCGAUGAGCAGCCCUGGGAACCCUCUGUCCAAAAUGCUCGGUUGGGAAAGUCACUGUUUUUGAAGUCAUGUGUUCCACACCCACAAACUGGGAUCCACAACUGGAGACUUUUGAAAAUGUUAAGUGUGAGUAUGUUGUUCUCCAACUCAGAAUUCCUUUAAGACUCUCUGCCGCCACCUGACCAGCAAUGACACUCAUUGAACGGUAUCCAAGGCUCUUCAGGGGCUGACCUCUGGCCUCCACUCUCAAGAGAUCACUUAGCUCUCGUUCCUCUGGCAGGCCAGAGUUGUUUUAUAUCUGAAGUCCCUCCCUCCCUUCCUCCCCCCAUGCCUCCCUUUCUCUCUCCCCCUUCGUAGCCCACUCUCUCUGAGAUUCAAGCAUCAGAUCACAUGCCAGCAGCCAUUCCAGGAGCAAUCUGGAUGCAAGAGAGGGAUUAAGAUGAAUCCAGAGGGAAAAUUGUAGGGAACACUUCAGCCAGACAUUCUCUUCUGAUGCAUGUCCAUCAAAUCAACGGAGCUGAAGGCUCGAGGUUGAAGCCUGGGCACCCCAAACACAUGCUCUAGAUGUUUUGUAUUUUCUAGGAAAGCAGCCCAGGAAGUAAGAGAUGCCUACUCCUUGUCCCCAACACGAUCUCAGAACCCAAGGCAUCUCAUCGGGUAGAUGAUGCCCGGGUGUCAUUUGAAACUGAUGUGGACCUGUGACCCUGGGAUUCUGGUCCCGAGUCUGUGUGUGGAGUAUGUCUGUGAGAGGCAUGGAUGUGUGGGUUUGGAGGGAGAGAGUAUUAUACCUUAUUUUAGCAGCAAAGGGUCCACCCGGCACAUCACUGAAUCCGUCACCUCGAGAGCACGCCUUUAUUUUUGAACUCUUUGGGUUGUUGGUUCGUCAUUUUUCUUUUUAAGCUUGACACAUAGCACUUGUCAUUUCUACGGGGUCCGGUGUGGCAAUGUGAUGCACCCCGAAGUCUGUGAGCAGCGCAAGGACUUGUCCCUCUCCAUUAACGGAGAACGUGAUGGAGACGGGGAGGGGUGAUCCUCUUUCGACAUCAGUGCCUUUUGCGCAAUGGGCUGCCUACAACUUUUUGCCGCUAAAGGGAAAAGGAUCUCAGAUGCCCUCAUUUCACUGCAGAGGUUCGCUUUGUUCUCAAGCCAUGGCACAACGGCCUUUAAGCAACAAGGCCUGAAGAUGCAGAGGGCUUAAACCCCAGCUGCUUAUCAUUCUUCCGCAGGCAAGCACCAGCAGGAUCGUCACAGACCUGGGCAUUGAUGUCUCUUUCUGAGGCUGAUAGAACUCACAUCACAAGGAUCUUAUAUCAAACCGAGGAUGGAACCUGGGUCUUCACACAUGCCCGGCUGUUCCCUUCUGAGCCAGCAACCAUGGUACACGGGCAAGCUGGAUGGAGAAGGGAGGAGGAGGGGAAAGCCCAGAUGUCGAGCGUGCGCUGCAUCCUGCACAGCUGUGCCCUGGAAACUUCGCUGGGGCAAGAAGGGAAUGAGGAAUACAUUGAAGAACGAACACAGACGCGAAUAGAAAAGCUGGGAUGCUGGCUCCGAAAUGAACCAGCUUGCAGCCUGGAAACUCAGCUUGCUUAUUCUGCACGGCAAGAUAGGAGGUCUCUGCAGGGGAAAGUCUCAGGCUGUAAAGACCUGGGCGAGGGAAGCUGCCCUUUGUACUUUCUGUACGCUCUGUCGUCGUUCACAGAAGGACCAGAGGAAGGCUCUCCCAAUUCCCAUGGGUCUGAGGCAUUGUGAUCCUUGAUAUGGCUAUGCUCAUGUCAACAACUCACACCCAUUCCCCUCACCCAGCCCUUACACUUUCUCUCAGGGCUUCUGCUCCUGGCGAUACUGUUUUGCCAAUUUCCCUGGUGUAAAUACUUCUACCAAGUUGCUGGGGGGGGGCACCUUAGUGGUACAGGCUGUGCCUAGCGUGUACCAGGUCUCAGGUUCAAUCCAUAACACUUAAAAUACAAAAUCUCACAAGGAACCCACACAAGUCAGCUAUACGCAUCGCUGCGAAAGAAUUUUGUCACAUUUUAUGUUAAGUAUGAGCUCCCUACCACCGUCCCCAACUACAGAAAAGACGAAGACAAGUACUGGCAGACUGUUUAACAAAAGAGAUGGGAAGUAGCGCACCAAAAUCUGGGUAAGAGUGAGCAUUCAGUAACUGUGAUCACUGAACAGACUGGUGUUUGUGUAAGGUUGUUACCUGCUCUGCCUGGCCUUUGGUGCACUGUCUGGGGCUGAGAAGAGCUUGCUGAUGGCUGGGACCUAGUUCCUUAAAGCCCCGUUACCUGUGCUUCAGUAAAGAAGUUUUCAGUUCACAGGGGAACUCAGUCAUCCUAAGAGACACAGCACCCUCACCCCCGCGCCGGGGGUGUAGAGCAAGCUGAGACCCAGGACCUAUACAAAGAUUUAGAUCAAAUCCAGGGGUCGGCUUGGUUUAGACAAAGCAGCAGGACCCUAUCCGUCUGUCAGACUGACACAAACAGCUUUCAUCUGGAGGGAUCUGGAAGGCAAAGGCUUCAAGUCUGACCUGGCUCCAGCUCAAAGCUCUGUCACUCACCUGGACCUGUCCCAGGUAAACUGGAAAUUUCAAGGCUUAGCCAGGUAUGAGGCUACACAGAAGGAGAAAGAUAAGAUGUGUGAGCCGUGCCUCGCCCCACACACCCCUCAGUGAUGCUAACCACAUGCCAGCCCUGCCAAGUCGGCAGAAAACAAGGUUAACAGCUAAGAUUCAAAAAGGACUGAGUCUCAAGACCAGUUGCACUGUCCUGCUCCCCCUGGGCACGAGGGGAAAAUAUAUGGCAUGUUAAUAUUUAGUAUCUCUAUGCAUCGUGUUGAUUUAAAACAUGAAGCUCUGUUUUGUAGUGUGACUUUUAGGGCACCUUCACUAGCUGUUGAGUGGACUAGGAGUUGAGUCAAGAGGCUGAUCUGUGUCUCCCUUCAGAGCAGCUCCCUUCAGCAAGCAAGCAGCUGCAUCCACAUGAUAGGGUCUGGGCGGUUCUCUGAAUGCCCUUGGGCACAUACAGUCUACAGAUUAUAGAGCAAGGAACCCGGAGGUAGUGAGGUAGAGGCGGUGAACAAAGGCCAGAGGCGAAGCUAGGAUUCAGGUAACAGAAUACCCUCCUGGAAUCAGACAAAAAUCCAGGCAGAAAUCCAAGGAUGGGAAAGAGCUGGGCUGUAGCCACCCAGAUAGAGGCAAGUGGGUUUGGAGCAGGAGAUGACAGAGCCCUGGAAUAUGCUUUAAGUGACAGCAAAAGAGUCUGUGUUCUCUCCUUGUUUGGGGGGUGGGAGGUGGUCACUAAAACCACUCUCCUGUUUCAGCAAUCCUGAGGAUCCCACAGUCAACUGCCAGCAAACCUAAACAGCAUCUGUUACCAAGCAGAGGGUUCUCUUUGAAUCUCAUCUUCUCAAAGGAAGAUUCAGCCAAGGGCAGGAGACAGUCCACCGGGAGCUUGUUUAGGAAAGAGAUCUACACUGCAAAGCAGCAUCCGAGAGGGGUCCCCCAGAGCAGGCAACAACCACUCACUAGAUUUUGUGUUCUGGAUUUUAAAGACUUCUUUCUUAUGAAUACUUAGGAGGUAGACCAGGUGUCCUGAGGUGAGGUAACAUUUUCCCGCUCCCAGAUCACGGUGGAACAGCUCUCCCCUUUAAAGUAGUUCUUACCAUGAUGCUUUCGAAACACCCACAAGGAGAUGGGAGUCAACAUGACAAUGCAAAUAAUAUUAUAAUGAGGCUGGGGGUCUUUCAAGGGUGCAGGUCUCUACUUAGUGCUAAUGUCAGGCAGUAGGGAACGUUCUCUGGUGCCUCGGCUUCUGGCAUGGCAGAAAGAACUGAUUUUUUAACCUCAAAGGGGAAUAAUUCUGACCACUGGAAGACUUAGCUACUGAGAUAUAUUUGUGGUUUUCCUUGGUGACCUCGUGUGUCACUUCUUGCUGACACGGUCUCACACCCCUAGGGCCAUCGUCUGUUGAGUCACGGAGAAUGGAAAACAACCCCACGAACUACUAGUCAUCGCUGACAGCCCAGAAACCUUCAAAGAAAUUGGUGCGCAGAGUGCUAGGGAAUAGAAAUUUGGAGAAAUAUCUGACAGGAACAUGGACACAAGUGAGAAAGAGCAUAAAGACGGGGACACUACAGUGGUCACGAGUUGGACUGUCUGUCAGACAGGAACAGGAUCGGUCAGAGAAACCAGUCUGCAUCUAUCGUCCAGUCAAUUUUCUCUUUCCACCAGGUGUGUCCCUGGGAUGAUCAAACGCCCAUCCCUCCAAUCUCUUGGGCAUUGCCUUUCCUCUUAAACCACGUUCAUCUCAUGGGACGAAAUACAGUAAGAGCUUAUAUAAGACUGAGCUGAACGUCCACCACAUGUGAGCUUGUAACAUGCAUGAUCCUUUCUGUGUGCAUGUCGAUCUGCUUCCUGCUGCUAACCAGGCUGAAAACUACUGGACACACACACACACACACAUGCACAUACAUAAAGAGACAGAGUUAACUCUUUAUGUCUAUGAGUUUCAUAUCUGUGACUUCAGCUAACCCCAUGUUGAAAAAUAUUCAAAAAUUGUGCAUAUACUGAACAUGUAAUGACUUUUUCCUUGUCAUUAUUCCCUAAACAAACAUUAUCUAUUCACAUUGUGACAGAUAGUAUAUAUAAUGCAGAGAUUGCUUAGUGCAGGAGGAGUAAUGGAGUCUGUGCAAGCACACCAUUUUUUAUUCAUAGUGCUUGAAUACGAACACCUAUAGAUUUUAUAUCCCCAGGGGUCCUGGAACCAAUUCCCCGUGAAUACAAGAGGAUGACUGUGUAUUAACAAUCUAGCAAAAAUGAGGAGUGACUUUGCUCAGUAUCCAAAAACUAGGCUUGGGAUGAGUGAGCACAGGUGGGAAGCAGGAUACCGUUCACUGCCAAUAAGGGUCUCACUAGUGACGGGGCGGGGGAUGCUGCAGAGCUGCAGUGCAAGCUGGGAGCAAAAGACCAGGAGAGGUCCCUUUGCUGGCUAGUGUUGAACACACAAACUGAUGAAUGGAAGGACAGGAUGGUGUUGUCACAGCGUGACUGUGUCCCCAAGAUCAUGUAUUGGAAACCAUCCCACUAGAGCACUGGAAGACAGGGUCUAGUAAGAAGUGUGUAGUUAGUGUCAACACCAUGGGGAAGGGGUAGCUGUUAGGAGUAUGAACUUGUUAUAAGACAAUUCUCGCUUUUUCUAACUUAUAGUUGGGUAUAAUAUAUAUAUUAUAUAUAUAAUAUACAUUAUAUAUUAUUUCAUCCAUGUAGCCAAUGAAAUAUGACCAUAUCCACACAUGUCCCUUCUUCACCUCCUUCCCCCAUGUCCCUUCAACAAUCCUCCUCCCAACUCUUGUCUUUUCUUCCCUUUUUGGUAACCCAGUAAGUCUUAUUAGUCACUCUUGUAUGGUUCUUUGGGGGUAACCAUGGUGUCUGUGAGUUCAUGCAUGUAUCAGUCGUACCAAGUACAGAAAACAGUGUUCCACGACACUCCUCACUAGCUUCUGGCUCUUUCCUGGAUCCUGUUCCAAAAGAUUCCCUGAGCCUUGAAGAAGGGGGAUUGGGAUGCUCCUCUCUUGUUUUUGCCUCCCAUUUCCUACCACAGGAUGAAGCACUAUAAACCUCUUAUCAGAUGCUGGCCCUCUGAUUUUGAACUUCCUCACCUCCAGAGGUAGAAAUGAAUUGAUUUUCUUCCUAAGCUUCUGAAUUAUUCUGCUAUUGCAGCACAAAACAGGCAAGGCAAACAUCUUCAAAGCUAGAUGAUAAACCGCAGCAAACCAGCCGUAGGAAGACCAGCAUCUGGAUAGACACAGAAGGCCCCAGCUCUUCUCUCCUUCACCGGACUCUAGUGUCAUUGCACAGAACACUUGUGGAUCUGCUCCUUCAGGAUUGAUGAGAAGGAAGUUGGGAACUCCCCACAUUGGGCUAGAAGUGCCAUGAGUACAGAUAUUAUGUCUUCUUGGUCAAUUCUGCCCACACCAAGGACCCUCAAGGCCCAAGUAGAACAGAGCUCUGGGGAUGCCUGGUUUUCUUCAUUACCACCCCCAGCAGUUAUAAACUCUGGCCCUAAAUAAAGGUGUUCAUGCACUGAUGGCUACUUGAA
Arvicola amphibius (Eurasian water vole) is the source of this 10292-nucleotide long non-coding RNA. RefSeq lists it as uncharacterized. NCBI's taxonomy places the organism in Eukaryota, Metazoa, Chordata, Mammalia, Rodentia, Cricetidae. The transcript is spliced from 5 exons. The record is from RefSeq and is a predicted model, not a curated record.